Molecule: ribosomal RNA, 30 nt
Filed under: Arianta arbustorum
Lineage: Eukaryota; Metazoa; Mollusca; Gastropoda; Stylommatophora; Helicidae
Description: partial 5.8S ribosomal RNA
Source: RNAcentral
AACUUUGAGGCGGUGGAUCACUCGGCUCGU